GUGGCAAAAAGUAUAUGAUUAUCAAGUGAUGAAAGUACGAUCCAAGUGGUAAACUAAGUUCCAUCUGUGUAGAAUCUCUCGGUGAGAUUCUUAGUGUUUUAGAAUGAAAGUAGGAGCUCAGUCUUGGGGGUCUUCUUGACGCUCCAAUGGCCUUUCUUCUCAUGUAGAGAGAAUUGGAUCAUGUGGUGAGGAGUAGCAGGACGUCUAAGUCUUGAAGGCUUUCAUCAUGCUCCAGGGCGCGGAACAGACUAACC
Molecule: long non-coding RNA, 254 nt
Filed under: Vigna radiata
Lineage: Eukaryota; Viridiplantae; Streptophyta; Magnoliopsida; Fabales; Fabaceae
Description: long non-coding RNA (VRAD_LNC014596)
Source: RNAcentral